RNAcentral lists this ribosomal RNA (253 nucleotides) under uncultured bacterium. RNAcentral describes it as "partial 16S ribosomal RNA". It matches the Rfam family "Bacterial small subunit ribosomal RNA", at positions 524 to 776 of the family's 1533-position model. The record is from RNAcentral.
AACGUAGGACACAAGCGUUAUCCGGAGUUACUGGGCGUAAAGGGCGUGUAGGCGGACUUGUAAGUCUAUUCUGAAAGCUCCUGGCUAAACUGGGAGAGGCGAAUGGAGACUGCAAAUCUAGAGUGAGGAAGAGGAAAGUGGAAUUCCGCGUGUAGUGGUGAAAUGCGUAGAGAUCGGCAGGAACACCCAGGGGGAAACCAGUCGACUGGGCAUCUACUGACGCUGAGGUGCGAGAGCGUGGGGAGCGAACCGG